RNAcentral lists this small RNA (102 nucleotides) under Phaeodactylum tricornutum. RNAcentral describes it as "signal recognition particle RNA". Lineage: Eukaryota; Bacillariophyta; Bacillariophyceae; Surirellales; Neidiaceae. The record is from RNAcentral.
UGGGUAUAGUAUUUGAUAUAAUUUUGAAUUUGUUUAGUAUGUCAGGAUCGUAAGAUAGCAGCAUAAAAUAAAAUAUCAAGGUUAGUAUUAAAUCUAUAUCUA